UCGAGGAUCUUCGGCAAUGGGCGCAAGCCUGACCGAGCGACGCCGCGUGAAGGAUGAAGGCCUCGGGUUGUAAACUUCUGUCGAGGGGGAUCAAGGGCAACUUGAGUGAUCCCUGGAGGAAGCACGGGCUAAGUUCGUGCCAGCAGCCGCGGUAAGACGAACCGUGCGAACGUUGUUCGGAAUCACUGGGCAUAAAGGGCGCGUAGGCGGCUUAUCAAGUCAGGGGUGAAAUCCGGCAGCUCAACUGUCGAAGUGCCUUUUGAUACUGAUGAGCUCGAGGGAGGUAGGGGUAUGUGGAACUUCCGGUGGAGCGGUGAAAUGCGUUGAUAUCGGAAGGAACGCCGGUGGCGAAAGCGACGUACUGGACCUCUUCUGACGCUGAGGCGCGAAAGCUAGGGGAGCAAACGGGAUUAGAUACCCCGGUAC
Molecule: ribosomal RNA, 426 nt
Filed under: uncultured bacterium
Lineage: Bacteria
Description: bacterial SSU rRNA
Rfam family: Bacterial small subunit ribosomal RNA
Source: RNAcentral